GUUAGUCUAAUUUAAAUAAAAUUUUUGUUUUGCAGAUGAACUAUGAGGAAAAUUCUCGAUUAACA
Molecule: transfer RNA, 65 nt
Filed under: Eclysippe vanelli
Lineage: Eukaryota; Metazoa; Annelida; Polychaeta; Terebellida; Ampharetidae
Description: tRNA-Ala
Source: RNAcentral